Molecule: long non-coding RNA, 612 nt
Filed under: Homo sapiens (human)
Lineage: Eukaryota; Metazoa; Chordata; Mammalia; Primates; Hominidae
Description: HSALNT0389186
Source: RNAcentral
AGACCAGGGCCCUCCACCUGCCAGGCUCCUCGCCGCCCCGCUACCUGCAUGGUGGGGUCCGCGCUGCGGUUGCUGCAGCCCCCCCUUUGGCGGGUGCCAUUGUAGCCGAGGUCGGCGCUGAAGCGGUGCCACAGAUACUGCGUGGCUAGCCAAUAUUAACCAUCGCUAUCUACCGCUGAGGAAACGAGGUCAUCGGGUACUCAAGGCAGAGCUGGAAGAGCACAUGACUCCUGAUGCUGCUGAUGUUCUGCGCUGUAACAGAGAGGCAGCUGGAGAGGAUCGGAGUGGGCUGAGCCCAGCUGCCUGGGUUGGAGCACCUAGGCUCUGCCACUACCUUCGGCAUGCCACUUACCACCCUGAGCCUCUGUUUUUUCAUCUGUAAAAUGGAGUUGCUAACAAAACAUGUCUCAAAAAGUUGUGGAAAAGCAGUGUCUGGUAUAUUCAAAGUGCUAUUAUUGCUAUUAACAGGCUGUCACGUCUGGGAGUGGUGGCUCACACCUGUAAUCCCAGCACUUUUGGAGGCUGAGGCGCAUGGAUCGCUUGAACCCAGGAGUUCGAGACCAAUCUGGGCAACAUGGUAAAACCCUGUCUCUACAAAAAAUACACAAAAAU